GAAAUACUGCCAUCUGUGACAACAUGGACGAACCAGCCGAAGUGUGUGCCAGUCCGUCUCCGUGUCCGUCAGUCAAGCUGAGUGUCUGAGAUGAUCGCUGAGUCUAAGUGCCUAGACACGUAGAUCAUUUCCACGUCGGGGCUGUUAUCGGAAAUCUGAAGCACAGCCAGGUUAAGACACUUGCCCAAAGCCACACAGACAAUGGCAGGACUGGAAAAUCAACCCAGGCAGUCAGACUCCACAAGUCUCAUUCCUCAAUAUGGAAGCCCAAUGCCAAUGACAGUUUUUUCAGGCUCUUGGACAUUUGCUGCAGUUCUCCAAGCUGCUCUUCUCACUUCGUCUUCCUCAUGGAACAGCCCGGACCAGUUUACAUUCAGAAUUGGACACAGGGUCUUCACACCCACAGCAGAGUCCUUGCUCACGGAAAAGAGUUGGAUUUCCGGAUCUUUACCGGGUGUGUAUCUUUCACACAGAUUCUGAAUAUUGCACUGAUCUAUGGUCAAUUCAGUCAUACUUUGUCAUUGUUUUAGUCUCAAGUUAAAACAAAACACCAUGAACUCUCGAAUCACAGAUCUCUGAACCCUAGAAUAUUUCAUCAAUGAUGCAAAUGGUCAACAGGAAAAUGCAGUGGGAGAGACAGAGUGUUUAAUUUCUUCUUGGUUAAAUCCAAUAACCAGGAGGCCCCACUAAGCUCUAAAUAAUUCAUCGUGACUGGAGCAGACUACAGGUUCCAUAGAUAUUAAUUGUUGAUUUCCCCCUGACCUGGUAUUUUUCUAUCUAGAGUAAGAGUGGGCUGAGAAAGUGAAAAGCCACACACAGAGAGGGCCUAUACUAUUUUUGUUCAUCAUCAAGCUAGUUAUUGCUAAACACACGUAUGCUCCUCAAAUUGCAAUGGUUAUGUCCCCAUAAAACCAUAAAUCUUCAAGGGCACUGAUGAGGAAAGGCCAUGUGAGCACACAGUAAGAAGGCAGCUGUCUUCACGCCAGGAAGAGGGUCCUCCCCAGCAACCACAUCUGCUGGCACCUUGAUCUUGGACUUACCAUAAGAAAAAUGUCUGUUGUUUAAGUCACCCAGUCUAUGUAUUGUGUCAGACUAUACCACACCGCUAAGAACCAUGUGUGAGAGCGAAAAAACAAACAGAAAAAAACAACAGUGCUGCCACAUGAGCCUCAGCAUAAAAAGUCCAGGCACUGUGGGAAUAUUAACUGUUACAUAAAGUCUGCCUAGGUUUGAAAUCGUCGGAUGCCAUAUUCAUGAGUUCUGACUUUAUUAACGAUUCUUCAGCUUUAUUGGAGGUGUCUGUCUUAGGAAUGCUGUGCAUAUAAUUGUCAAGCCUGGGUCUCAGGUACUAAAUCAGUGUGGGCCUUACGGAUAGAGUCUGUGAAAGCAAAGGAGAAUUAGGAGCAAAGCCAGGACGUCCUUCCCAUCAGAAGUGGCCACAGGCUUUCAGUUGGCCACCUGAGCAUCCCUGGGAAGCUCUCAGAGUUAGACCGUAGAGGGACCUGCAAAUUCAUGUUCUAGUCUCCUCUGCACAUCCUGUGCUCUUUCGUCUCUGAAGCUGUUGGUGCUGUAAUCACUGAAUUUGAAUUUUUACUCUCUUCUAUGGAAUGAAUGGUCAAGUAUUAAAUACAGAAGUUUAUUUCUUCCAGGACCAUCAUUUCUAAUUAUUUGCCAAAAAAAAGGUAUUUUUAAAAUUAAGCCACACUAGAUUGAGAUUUUAACUAAAAUUUAUUAAGGUAAACCGGAAAGAAAACUUACCACCUAAAAUUUGCAUGGUUGUCUACUUGUAAUAUUUUAGCAGACAUGUUUUUUAAUGACUUAAAAUUUUCUGCUUUAUUGAGAUAUAAUUGAUAUAUAACAUUAUGUAAGUUUAAGGUGUACACUGUGUUAAUUUAAUGCACUUACGUAUUUCAAAAUGACUACCACCUUACUGUCAACUAAUACCUCAGUCAUGUCACGUAAUUACUAUUUCACUUGUGUGUAAGAUCUACUCACUUAGCAGCUUUUAAGUAUAUAAUACAGUAUUGUUAUCUAUAAUCACCAUGCUGUACAUUAGAUCCCCAAAACAUACUCAUCUUAUAAGUAGAAGUUUGUGCUCUUUAACCCACAUCUCCCUAUUUUCCCAGCCCCCAGCAAAUACCACCUUACUGUCUGUUUCUGAGUUCCAGUUUCUUAGAUUACAUAUACAAAUAAGAUUAUACAGUAUUUGUUGUUAUCUGUCAGACUUAUUUCACUUA
This is a non-coding RNA of Miniopterus natalensis, 2237 nucleotides long. The record is from RefSeq and is a predicted model, not a curated record. NCBI's taxonomy places the organism in Eukaryota, Metazoa, Chordata, Mammalia, Chiroptera, Miniopteridae.